GUGCUUUCUUGGGCAGCACAUACACUGAAAUUGAAAUGAGACAGAGAAGAUUAGCAUGGUUCCUGUGAAAGGAUAACAUACAAAUUUGUGAAGCAUUCUAUAUAUAU
This 107-nucleotide small nuclear RNA is filed under the name Sciurus vulgaris (Eurasian red squirrel). The record is from RNAcentral. Lineage: Eukaryota; Metazoa; Chordata; Mammalia; Rodentia; Sciuridae.